This 879-nucleotide ribosomal RNA is filed under the name uncultured bacterium. RNAcentral describes it as "bacterial SSU rRNA". It matches the Rfam family "Bacterial small subunit ribosomal RNA", at positions 552 to 1430 of the family's 1533-position model. The record is from RNAcentral.
UACUGGGCGUAAAGAGNUCGUAGGUGGUUUGUUGCGUCGUCUGUGAAAUUCCGGGGCUUAACUUCGGGGUGGCAGGCGAUACGGGCAUAACUAGAGUGCUGUAGGGGAGACUGGAAUUCCUGGUGUAGCGGUGGAAUGCGCAGAUAUCAGGAGGAACACCGAUGGCGAAGGCAGGUCUCUGGGCAGUAACUGACGCUGAGGAGCGAAAGCAUGGGGAGCGAACAGGAUUAGAUACCCUGGUAGUCCAUGCUGUAAACGGUGGGCGUUAGGUGUGGGGACCGGUUUGGUUUCUGUGCCGUAGCUAACGCAUUAAGCGCCCCGCCUGGGGAGUACGGCCGCAAGGCUAAAACUCAAAGGAAUUGACGGGGGCCCGCACAAGCGGCGGAGCAUGUGGAUUAAUUCGAUGCAACGCGAAGAACCUUACCUGGGUUUGACAUGCACCAGACGGUUGUAGAGAUACGUACCUCCCUUUGUGGUUGGUGUGCAGGUGGUGCAUGGUUGUCGUCAGCUCGUGUCGUGAGAUGUUGGGUUAAGUCCCGCAACGAGCGCAACCCUUGUCUUAUGUUGCCAGCACUUUGGGUGGGGACUCAUGAGAGACUGCCGGGGUUAACUCGGAGGAAGGUGGGGAUGACGUCAAAUCAUCAUGCCCUUAUGCCCAGGGCUUCACACAUGCUACAAUGGUUAGUACAACGCGCAGCAAACCUGUGAGGGUGAGCGAAUCGCUGAAAGCUAAUCUCAGUUCGGAUUGGGGUCUGCAACUCGACCCCAUGAAGUCGGAGUCGCUAGUAAUCGCAGAUCAGCAAUGCUGCGGUGAAUACGUUCCCGGGCCUUGUACACACCGCCCGNCACGUCAUGAAAGUUGGUAACACCCGAAGCCCA